UGGGGGACAUUGCACAAUGGAGGAAACUCUGAUGCAGCAACGCCGCGUGAGGGAAGAAGGUCUUCGGAUCGUAAAGCUCUGUCUUCGGGGACGAACAAAUGACGGUACCCGAGGAGGAAGCCACGGCUAACUACGUGCCAGCAGCCGAGGUAAUACGUAGGUGGCAAGCGUUGUCCGGAAUUACUGGGCGUAAAGCGCACGUAGGCGGACCAGAAAGUUGGGGGUGAAAUCCCGGGGCUCAACCUCGGAACUGCCUUCAAAACUAUUGGUCUGGAGUUCGAGAGAGGUGAGUGGAAUUCCGAGUGUAGAGGUGAAAUUCGUAGAUAUUCGGAGGAACACCAGUGGCGAAGGCGGCUUUCUGGACUGUAACUGACACUGAGGCUCGAAAGCCAGGGGAGCGAACGGGAUUAGAUACCCCGGUAGUCCUGGCCGUAAACGAUGGGUACUAGGUGUAGGAGGUAUCGACCCCUUCUGUGCCGGAGUUAACGCAAUAAGUAUCCCGCCUGGGGAGUACGGCCGCAAGGCUG
This 527-nucleotide ribosomal RNA is filed under the name uncultured bacterium. RNAcentral's name for it is "bacterial SSU rRNA". It matches the Rfam family "Bacterial small subunit ribosomal RNA", at positions 355 to 896 of the family's 1533-position model. The record is from RNAcentral.